RNAcentral lists this ribosomal RNA (465 nucleotides) under uncultured bacterium. Its description in RNAcentral is "bacterial SSU rRNA". It matches the Rfam family "Bacterial small subunit ribosomal RNA", at positions 338 to 795 of the family's 1533-position model. The record is from RNAcentral.
CCUACGGGGCGCACCAGUGGGGAAUAUUGCACAAUGGGCGCAAGCCUGAUGCAGCCAUGCCGCGUGUAUGAAGAAGGCCUUCGGGUUGUAAAGUACUUUCAGCGGGGAGGAAGGCGAUAAGGUUAAUAACCUUGUUGAUUGACGUUACCCGCAGAAGAAGCACCGGCUAACUCCGCGCCAGCAGCCGCGGUAAUACGGAGGGUGCAGGCGUUAAUCGGAAUUACUGGGCGUAAAGCGCACGCAGGCGGUCUGUCAAGUCGGAUGUGAAAUCCCCGGGCUCAACCUGGGAACUGCAUUCGAAACUGGCAGGCUAGAGUCUUGUAGAGGGGGGUAGAAUUCCAGGUGUAGCGAUGAAAUGCGUAGAGAUCUGGAGGAAUACCGGUGGCGAAGGCGACCCCCUGGACAAAGACUGACGCUCAGGUGCGAAAGCGUGGGGAGCAAACAGGAUUAGAUACCCUAGUAGUC